RNAcentral lists this ribosomal RNA (253 nucleotides) under uncultured bacterium. Its description in RNAcentral is "partial 16S ribosomal RNA". It matches the Rfam family "Bacterial small subunit ribosomal RNA", at positions 524 to 776 of the family's 1533-position model. The record is from RNAcentral.
UACGAAGGGGGCUAGCGUUGCUCGGAAUGACUGGGCGUAAAGGGCGCGUAGGCGGACGGCUUUGUCGGGCGUGAAAUUCCAGGGCUUAACCUUGGGGCUGCGUUCGAGACGGGUUGUCUAGAGUUUGGAAGAGGGUCGUGGAAUUCCCAGUGUAGAGGUGAAAUUCGUAGAUAUUGGGAAGAACACCGGUGGCGAAGGCGGCGACCUGGUCCUUGACUGACGCUGAGGCGCGAAAGCAUGGGGAGCAAACAGG